GACGAACGCUGGCGGCGUGCCUAAUACAUGCAAGUCGAGCGGACUGAUUAAGAGCUUGCUCUUAUGACGUUAGCGGCGGACGGGUGAGUAACACGUGGGCAACCUGCCCUGUAGAUCGGGAUAACACCGAGAAAUCGGUGCUAAUACCGGGUAAUAUCUGAGAUCACAUGAUCUUAGGUUAAAAGAUGGCUCCGGCUAUCACUACAGGAUGGGCCCGCGGCGCAUUAGCUAGUUGGUAAGGUAAUGGCUUACCAAGGCGACGAUGCGUAGCCGACCUGAGAGGGUGAUCGGCCACACGGGGACUGAGACACGGCCCAGACUCCUACGGGAGGCAGCAGUAGGGAAUCUUCCGCAAUGGACGAAAGCCUGACGGAGCAACGCCGCGUGAGUGAUGAAGGGUUUCGGCCCGUAAAGCUCUGUUGUUAGGGAAGAAACAGUACCGAACGAACUAGGUCGGUACCUUGACGGUACCUAACCAGAAAGCCACGGCUAACUACGUG
This 500-nucleotide ribosomal RNA is filed under the name uncultured bacterium. RNAcentral describes it as "partial 16S ribosomal RNA". It matches the Rfam family "Bacterial small subunit ribosomal RNA", at positions 28 to 507 of the family's 1533-position model. The record is from RNAcentral.